AGAUAUUAUUCCCUUGUAGUGUAGUUUAAUAGCUAUCUACAUAGUAACUUAACAUUAAUUAUGUUAGUUUAUAUAUUAUAGUAUGACGCUAGCAAUUUUGUUAAUAAAUUGAAAAUGUUAGUAUUAGUAAUAUUAGUAUAUGUGCUAAAGGAACUCGGCAAAAAACCGCUCAACUGUUUAUCAAAAACAUAGCUAUAUGAAUUAGUAUAUAGUUGUUUCUGCUCAAUGACUUAAAUAGCCGCAGUACUCUGACUGUGCAAAGGUAGCAUAAUCAGUUGGCUUUUAAUUAGAGUCUGGUAUGAACGAAAAUAUGGGUAGUAACUGUCUUAGCACAUUUCUUUGAACUUGUUAAACAAGUGCAAAUACUUGUAAUUAAACAAUAGACGAGAAGACCCUAGAAACUUGGACAUGUUUUUGUUGGGGCGACAGAAUUACAUUUAACUAAUCUUCUAAUACAUGACGCGAUGCUGGAAGAAUAAGUUACUCUAGGGAUAACAGCAUAAUUUCAUUAGUUUGUGACCUCGAUGUUGGACUAGGUACUAUACCCUUAAGGCAAGGAUAUAUUGUGCUCUGUUCGAGCAAAAUUACCUACAUGAUCUGAGUUCAGACCG
This 611-nucleotide ribosomal RNA is filed under the name Helix pomatia (Roman snail). RNAcentral describes it as "partial 16S ribosomal RNA". It matches the Rfam family "Archaeal large subunit ribosomal RNA", at positions 1519 to 2689 of the family's 2987-position model. The record is from RNAcentral. Lineage: Eukaryota; Metazoa; Mollusca; Gastropoda; Stylommatophora; Helicidae.